This 1543-nucleotide long non-coding RNA is filed under the name Sarcophilus harrisii (Tasmanian devil). RNAcentral describes it as "lncRNA (ENSSHAG00000024901.1)". Lineage: Eukaryota; Metazoa; Chordata; Mammalia; Dasyuromorphia; Dasyuridae. The record is from RNAcentral.
CUGUAUGUUGUUACGUCUCAGGGGUCCUUCGGCAUCGGGCCUGUCAAUGUCUGGCUGUUCCAGCCAUGGCCUGGAGGCCCCUCCACCCAUGUCCCGCUCCCACCGGCUGGCAGCACCUCUCUCAGGCCCAACUGCCCCUGGCAGACCAGCUCAUGCUAGGGUCCUGCUCCCUGGGGGGGGGGUCUCUGACACCAGGGGUCAUCCACCAGCCAACCAGCAGCAGGCCUGGGGGAGGGCAGACAGGCCAGGGCCUCAUCCACAACUGGGCCCAACAACCUUCCAAUGAGGGGGCAUGGCCCAUCCAGCUUUUAGGAAGGAGCUGUGCAGCGGCAGGGGGAGGGCAGACAGGCCGGGCCUCAUCCACAACUGGGCCCAACAACCUUCCAAUGAGGGGGGCAUGGCCCAUCCAGCUUUUAGGAAGGAGCUGCCCAGCGGCAGGGGGAGAGCAGUCCCUGAGGGGGCAGCAGCCCGGGAGCCUGAGGCCUAGGAGCAGCUUGGAGUCAGGCCCAGUGCCCUCCGACCUUCUCCUGAUGAGCUGGGCUCCUGCGGCUGAGGCGGCCAAACCUCCCUGAAGCCCUAGGGAGCCCCAUCUCCUCCCCCCCCCCCGCCCCGGCCUUGCUCCCCCCUGUGGAGCUGCUGGCCGCCCGGCAGCUGAAACCUGCCCUCUGGGGGCCUGUGGAGACGCUGGCUGCCCGGCCACCUGCUUGGGAGCCUCCCCGAGGAGUCAGUGACAUGUCUGUUCAUCUGGGAAGUGGGAGGAGCCAUAAACCACACUUGUCCAUGGGGGAAGUGGCUAGCUCGGCUCCCCUCAGUCUCCUGGGGCGGCUGAGAGGAUGGAGGAGAGGAAGACAUAGAAGGGGGAGUGCUCCCAAACCAAGGUGGCCACGGGCAGUUGGGGACCAGCCUUGUUGGGCAUCCGCUGGGCAUGCCCUGAAAAGAGCUGGGAUGCAGAGAGGGUACUGCCAGGUAUUUGAGACCACCUUGAACAGCGGAGCCCACUCUCCCGAGGUGCCAUUGGAAGAAUAAAACGUGAGCCAGUCCUGGCUGCAGGAUACAGAAGAGUCUGCUUCCGGGCCAGUUUGUCCUUGGAGGAUACUUCCACCUCCCAGGCCCUCAGGUUGGAAACCUUGGAGUCGCCCUGGACACCACACUCUCUCACCCACUAUCUCUCAGCCAUGUGCCAAGGCCUGUGCCUGUCACCUUGGCAGCAUCUUUCCCCUGCUACCCCAACCCUCCUCCCAGACCCUCCUUCAGCCAUACCUGGACCCAGACUGAGGCAGUCCGAGUUUCUGCCUGUCUCACUCCAGCCCCAUUCUGGGACUCAGUGAUCCUGCUAGCUCUGGGCCCCCCUCCCCCAAUGUACUCCAAGACCAAAUGAAAAAUUCGGUUUGUUAUCUAAGUCGUUCAUCACGUGAGCCCCUCUCUUGGUCUUCUUACUGCCCCCCCCCAAUAAAAGAACACCCUCCAAGAGGUACCUGUCUCCAGACACAGAUUGCCUCCCGGCUGUGGUCAUUUCCCAGGGCUCCCCCCCUUCCCUGAAUCC